AUACGGAGGAUCCGAGCGUUAUCCGGAUUUUUUGGGUUUAAAGGGUGCGCAGGCGGCCAUUUAAGUCAGCGGUUAAAUCGUGGGGCUCAACCCCAUUCUGCCGUUGAUACUGGGUGGCUUGAUUGCGGUCGAGGUUGGCGGAAUUCGUUGUGUAGCGGUGAAAUGCAUAGAUAUGACGAAGAACACCGAUUGCGUAGGCAUCUGACCAGACCGCAAAUGACGCUCAUGCACGAAAGUGCGGGGAUCGAACAGGAUUAGAUACCCUGGUAGUCCGCACAGUAAACGAUGAAUACUUGUUUUCGGCGAUAUAAUGUCGGAGGCAAAGCGAAAGCGAUAAGUAUUCCACCUGGGGAGUACGCCGGCAACGGUGAAACUCAAAUGAAUUGGCGGGG
Molecule: ribosomal RNA, 392 nt
Filed under: uncultured bacterium
Lineage: Bacteria
Description: partial 16S ribosomal RNA
Rfam family: Bacterial small subunit ribosomal RNA
Source: RNAcentral